AUUUGGAUAGCUUAAAAUUUUAAAGUUUAACUCUGAAGAAGUUAUGAUAGAAGGAAUUCUUCCAAAUG
Molecule: transfer RNA, 68 nt
Filed under: Eysarcoris montivagus
Lineage: Eukaryota; Metazoa; Arthropoda; Insecta; Hemiptera; Pentatomidae
Description: tRNA-Phe
Source: RNAcentral